UGGGGAAUUUUGGACAAUGGGCGAAAGCCUGAUCCAGCAAUGCCGCGUGUGUGAAGAAGGCCUUCGGGUUGUAAAGCACUUUUGUCCGGAAAGAAAACCUCCGCCCUAAUACGGUGGGGGGAUGACGGUACCGGAAGAAUAAGCACCGGCUAACUACGUGCCAGCAGCCGCGGUAAUACGUAGGGUGCAAGCGUUAAUCGGAAUUACUGGGCGUAAAGCGUGCGCAGGCGGUCCGCUAAGACAGAUGUGAAAUCCCCGGGCUUAACCUGGGAACUGCAUUUGUGACUGGCGGGCUAGAGUAUGGCAGAGGGGGGUAGAAUUCCACGUGUAGCAGUGAAAUGCGUAGAGAUGUGGAGGAAUACCGAUGGCGAAGGCAGCCCCCUGGGCCAAUACUGACGCUCAUGCACGAAAGCGUGGGGAGCAAACAGGAUUAGAUACCCCCGUAGUCC
Molecule: ribosomal RNA, 449 nt
Filed under: uncultured bacterium
Lineage: Bacteria
Description: bacterial SSU rRNA
Rfam family: Bacterial small subunit ribosomal RNA
Source: RNAcentral